Molecule: ribosomal RNA, 459 nt
Filed under: uncultured bacterium
Lineage: Bacteria
Description: partial 16S ribosomal RNA
Rfam family: Bacterial small subunit ribosomal RNA
Source: RNAcentral
CCUACGGGUGGCAGCAGUGAGGAAUAUUGGUCAAUGGGCGCGAGCCUGAACCAGCCAAGUCGCGUGCGGGAAGACGGCCCUAUGGAUUGUAAACUUCUUUUGUCCGGGAGUAAAAGUCGCCACGCGUGGUGUUCCGAGAGUACUCGAAGAAAAAGCAUCGGCUAACUCCGUGCCAGCAGCCGCGGUAAUACGGAGGAUGCGAGCGUUAUCCGGAUUUAUUGGGUUUAAAGGGUGCGCAGGCGGAAGAUUAAGUCAGCGGUAAAAUUGUGAGGCUAAACCUCUUCGUGCCGUUGAAACGGGUUUUCUUGAGAGAAUGAGAGGUAUGCGGAAUGCGUGGUGUAGCGGUGAAAUGCAUAGAUAUCACGCAGAACUCCGAUUGCGAAGGCAGCAUACCGGCGCUCAACUGACGCUCAUGCACGAAAGUGUGGGUAUCGAACAGGAUUAGAUACCCGUGUAGUC